Molecule: non-coding RNA, 5108 nt
Organism: Bemisia tabaci
Lineage: Eukaryota; Metazoa; Arthropoda; Insecta; Hemiptera; Aleyrodidae
Source: RefSeq, a predicted model, not a curated record
AGUUACCAGUUUUUGUACAUUAGACUUAUUCCUUCAAUUAGUGAGAAAAAAAAUUCUAUGACUCUGUAUUCAAUAGAUCCUCUCAUUAGUAAUGAAAGUUGGUGUGAUAUUUCAAGACUCAUCCUAUAUUUUGUAUUUCUGCUGUCAUCACAUCACUUUGGCUGAAAAAUAUGUCAAAAUUUUCUCAGUUUUAUUAUCAAAGACAUUUUUUUGUUUCCUGCUGAGUCCUCCUUGCACUCAACGUCAAUGAGUAAAAGAUUCUGGUUGUGAUAGUCAUUGGUGUUUGCUUUUUGUCGUAAGAUACUGUCUUUUCUACUUUCUGAGACGUACCACACUUUCGUGAUAAAAGUUAACCAAUUUCAAAGUAGAGUUAUUUUCUCUCUGCAGUGUGACGUGCAAUUAUUUCUUUUUUGUUUGUGCAUUGAAUAGUUUCCCUUUCCUCCCCCCUCACUGAAUCAUAAAAUAGGUGAAGCUGCAAGUAGCACAGCUUUGCCUGUUUAGAAAACUUUUGAAAGCUGAAGUAAUCUAGACUGAAAACUGAAGUUAGACUCCCUAGAUUAGACUUUCUUUCAUUCAAAUAAUUCAGUUUGAUAAAACAUUAAUAACCUCAGUUACGCUCUCUGCAGUUUCACGUGAAUUUAUAGCGGCAGCCGCUUUAAUUCAAAUUAUAAUUUUUCUUUUCUGUGUUAAUUUAAUGUACAGUGAAAUGUUGCUAAGUCAAACUGCCGUUAAGAUGAAACCCAGCUUUAGUUGAAAAUUCUUUCGGUUCCAAUGCACAGCUGUAAGCUGCAAUGUAAAACAAGAAGACACAUCCAACAUGAAUGUUGGAAAAGCAUGCCGAACAACUGAAAUGUUGGAGAGAUACUAUUUUCAUGUCUUUGCUAUUUGUAUCUAUUGGUACGUUUUGCUAAAUUUAGAACAUAUUAAUUCACGAAUGUUGAAUGUAAAUCAACUUCAUUUAAAAAAGAAAAUAAUAGCAUUAACUCGGGUGAACAUGUUGCUGAUUGUACGUAUGAAGGAAGUUUUUUCCAGUAUUUUUGUUUAACUUAUUAACUCCCGAGAAAGUGUUCAGACAUUUUUUAUUUCAAUUAUUCACUUUGAUGAUCGGUUUAAAACAUUCAACACAAUCGCUAAAAAACAACAUCUCUUGGCAGGACUCAAACCCCUGUUGUCAGAGAUCAGUAUAAUCACAUGCGAUUGAGCAGAGGUGUAGACAACGGAGCCAUCACGACAUUCUGAAUAACGCAAAGAAAUAAGAGUAUUAGAGAAUCGUAGACAGACUAGGUAUUCGUUCACCGUUGUGGGCCGGUGGGCAAGGCUUCACUGCCUUGGCCCUUCGGCAGCUGUCAUGGUUAUAAAGAAAGGAUUAAGCUCAUUUCUGUAUGAACUGUAGUUAGCACAUGCUUUUGGGUCUCUUGAGGUUCAUCCCAGCAUGCAUUCGCUGUCACGGCAGUUGAGCUGAGGCAAUAUUUGCAUUUCCAUGAAUUAAACCAAUCAAUCCGUUUCUGAUUUUGGCUUCUAUAGCUGUAAUGGGUCCUCUAGAGCAACUUUCCACCUUGUACAAUGGUUAUUAUUUUUUAUUUUUAUUCUUAACAUUUGAAGUGGGAUAAUGGCAGCCUCUCAAGAGCCACCCUAUGUUUAUCCUCUGUUGAUCGAACAAGAACAUAUAUAAAAGAAGCUCAUUGGCUACAAAGUUGCGGCAGGAUUUAAGGUUCUAAAUUUGAGUUGUCCGAGGGUAGAAAAGCUUAUUUGAGCUUUCUUUCAAAUUAAAUAUUACGGUUUUGACAGAAAAAUGUUCUCACGGGUUUCCCCUGAGAAGUUAAUUCGGUUUCUUGGUGAAUGAUUAUCAGGGCUUGACAGUUCAACGGUUCAAACACAAAAAAACGGAUCCAUCGGAAAAAUAAUUUUGACUGCCCAUUGAAUAGCAUUGGUUUAUCGGUGUGCUGUCUGUGCUAUACUAUGGUACAUCCAAGUGAUUUUAAAAAGCAAGCCCUACUGGCAUGCUUAAAACCACAACCAAGACAAAUUUGUAACUUUUGUUGGGGAAGAAAAUUCUCAGUAAAUCUGACAAAAAUGCAAUUUCAUACAUAGAAAAUCAAGAGACAGGAGUGAUUUAUAUAAAGAGGAAUGUUUCCAAUAAAGUUUUAUGAUGAAUGAUGAUGUACCCACCUGUGUUUUAAAGGGAGUACACAAGUUACAUCUUUAAAGUCUGUGACUCGGGUUGUCCUUUGAUGAUUUGUUGAUGUUGAUGACACUUCACAUUUUCAAUUUAAGAAUUUUCAUUUAAUCAAAUGCAUUUCAAGCUGAUUUCGUGUCAACUGAUAAAGUGGAUAAAAUGAUAAACGUCCACGCCCAAUAAAUUUACGCACUCCUAGACUGCGACAGAAGAUCCUUUGACGUUACUUCUAUGUGUUAAGUUGAUCCAAUAAGCAAGAUGGCAGAUCUUCUGUCGCACUCUUAAAGUGUUUAUUUGGCGUGGAUUCUAGCUGCUUCAGUCAAAGUUUCUCUCAGCCCCCAGACAAUGCGACUUAGCGAUAUUUCACUGUAAUUGCAGUCUGUACCGCCGAUUUUGAUCAACUCGGGCAAGGCAAAAUUGGGCAAGAAAAUUAUUUCCUUCAAUUUUUUUGUUGUAUAAUUUUAAUGUUCUUUCCUCGGUAUCCAUAUUUGAAUGCCUUGCUUCAAAAACUGCCUAAUUCUGUAGCAAUGACUCAGUUUUCUUGUAUGUUUUCAUUGAUGAAAAGAAAACCAACAAUCAUUCGUUUCACAAUUUCUCAGCAUUUUUUUCCAUGAAAUUUCAGAACAUUUCCAUCAAACCCAUUGUCUAACGUGUUUUAUUAAAAUUAUGAUGUAAAAAGAUAAACUAAAAUGUUGCCUUGGAGUUUGACAGUUUUCAAAGCAAACCACUCAUUCAUGAUUUGUGGACGCUAAUAAUUUUACAAAAUAAUUUGUAGUCAUGAUGGUGCUUGAAUGAUGCUAGUGGAUUAGAUGUCUGCAAUUUGUCAAACUAAUCUCAUUUUUAGCCCACCUUUUUUAUUUUUGUUUGUCCGUCUUUAACAGUUUAAAAUGGUUUUUUUUUCGUUGAUAAUGUUUACCGUUUUUCCUCGUUCCCUCUUUGCUUAGUUUUGUUGUAAUGAUGGAUGCUUUAUUUUGUGUUAUUUUAUAAAUGUAGAAAUUAAUUCACUGAUUCUCAAUUUUCCAAGAUCUUGGGAUUAUUUUUAAAGAUAUGUACCUAUUGCCAAUUCUACAGCACACACUUUGUUUCUACUUGAAUCGAAUACAAAUAUGGACGUCAAUUUCAAUCUUAUUUUAAAACUCAAAAACUAGAGCAGUGUACAAUGGAUCACCAGGCAAAGUGCAAAUUUAAUUACAAAUUAUGAUGUAUGUUUUAUUAUCAAAAUUUUACACAGAACAUUUUCUUAGUGGUCCAUUUCAAGAUUUAUGUGAAGUAUUGUGAAUGAAUUACGCUUUCUGUUUUAGACUGAAUUUUUCUUUUUAUCAUCACAAAUUUAAAGUUACGAAUUAAAUUUUCUUUUUCCUCAAGAAUCAAACUUUCUUUUUUUUGUGUGAGGAACUUAGACUUGAAACAAUUUUCUUGCAAACAAAUAUUUUCAAAAUGUUAUUGGGCCUCUCAGAAAUAGUUCUAUUACAUCACUAUUACAUAUACCCUUAUUUGCCCUUUCACAACAUAAUUUCGUCAAAUCUCUUUUAAAUUUGUUUUAAGUGAACUGCUGCACAAAUUUGCACACAAACAACACAAAAAUGUUGCAAUUUAUGUAUCAAUGAAAGGAAAAUUAAAAUUCAACAAUUAUGUAGCAUGGUAUGUAAUUCUUGUUCUUUUGGUGUCUACCUUACCAAAGAGCGUUGAUAACAAGAAAACCAAGGGAAUUAAUUCGACUACGAAAAGUCAAGAAGUUUCAUUAAAAAAAAAGAAUUGCUGUUUUCCUUGAUAGCAGUUUUUUAUUGUAUUUUUCAAUUUAUCACAUUCAAUUAUUCAAUUUAUGUGGCAAAAAUUAGAUGUAGCAUUCAGGUUGAAGUUUUAAAGUCAGUUUAAAUAAGGUGUAUGAAUGAAAAAGGAAGAAAUUACAAAAGAAAAAUGUCAUUUUGCCUAACAAAACACUUUUUGAAGGGAGUUUUUUUGCUCAAAACGUCGCAAACUUCCCUUCCCUUCUGCUACUUUUCUACGACAAAAUGUAUCUUAUCCUACAAAAACUAUCCACUAUUCUGCCUUAAGAACUUCACUUAUAUUUAAGAAAAUUCAAAGAAUUUUGUGUGUCGUUACUGUCUUUCACUGCUAAGAACCUGUUAAAUGUUAAACCCUCCUUGACCAGCUAAUAAGUUCUCAUUUUCUCAGGUGCAGUACAGUAAAGCAUGUUUUAAAACAAAGGGAAAGAAAAGUUCCUGAACCCAUGAUCAAAGUAAUCAUCUCAUUAUCUGUAAGAAAAUUUAGAUACUUCACAUUAACACCCAAGAACAGGAGAUCAACUCUCAGCAACAAUCUUAUCGGAUGCUAUGAAUGUUUCAUGACAUCUGAGUCUAUUAUCCACUCCCCUAUCAAUAAACUUAAAUCGAAAGGCUUGGAGGACAAGGCGCAUAAGUGCAGUUUUUUAAAAAAUUGAGGUAUCAAUGACUUCAAGUAAAACUAGCCUUAAUGCAUAUUCUAGGAAGAAUCAAAAAGUCCACUCAAACUUUUUUUCCACCAUAAGGAUCGGUGUAAUCUCAAAACUUCAAACACGUAUUUCUCGAAAUAGCAAAAACUGCACUCACGCGCCUCGUCCACCAAGCCCCUCAUUUCUAAUUAUGAUGCCCAAGAUUCCUCUGUCCAAGAAAAAUGGAAGAACACAGAAAUCACACCAAAUAGCACUUGUGUAUGUAUGUUUAAGCGAUUAAACUCUGAACAACUGCAGAUGCACCUACAUCUCAUAUAUUCAAGCGCUUUCAUUUCAAGAUCAUUCCUGUUUUUACUUUACUUUUAAUGCUUGAGAUUAAAAAUGGCUCACUCAAUGAAGUUAUCUCUUUGUCUCUCGAAAAUCUUCUCUAAAUUUAGUUCAAGUUAAGUAGGUAGUAAACGUUUGCCAAAUAAAUAGUGGACUCCUCCUUAAUUGCCUAGC